UACAGAGGUCCCGAGCGUUGUUCGGAUUCACUGGGCGUAAAGGGUGCGUAGGUGGUCGGGUAAGUCUGAGGUGAAAUCUCCGAGCCCAACUCGGAAACUGCCUUGGAUACUAUUCGGCUAGAGGGUUGGAGGGGGGACUGGAAUUCUCGGUGUAGCAGUGAAAUGCGUAGAUAUCGAGAGGAACACCAGUGGCGAAGGCGAGUCCCUGGGCAGUAACUGACGCUGAGGAGCGAAAGCGUGGGGAGCGAACAGG
This 253-nucleotide ribosomal RNA is filed under the name uncultured bacterium. Its description in RNAcentral is "partial 16S ribosomal RNA". It matches the Rfam family "Bacterial small subunit ribosomal RNA", at positions 524 to 776 of the family's 1533-position model. The record is from RNAcentral.